GUGCAGAGGAAGAUGAAAGGAUUCAAGGGGGUGCAUCUACCAUCGGACGCAAUGAGAAGAUCAACUUGGUUUAGUUAUCUUGUAUCGUAAUUUUAUUUUUUUCUUUAUGUAUGCUUCUUUAUUUGAUUAAUAAAAAAUAAUUUUAUUAUAAUUUCAUACUUAUUUCUUAAUUUCUUAUAAACUAUUAUUUUUUUUAUAUUUUCAAAAUAAUCAAU
This 215-nucleotide long non-coding RNA is filed under the name Elaeis guineensis (African oil palm). RNAcentral's name for it is "long non-coding RNA (EGUI_LNC036536)". Lineage: Eukaryota; Viridiplantae; Streptophyta; Magnoliopsida; Arecales; Arecaceae. The record is from RNAcentral.